Long non-coding RNA from Etheostoma spectabile (orangethroat darter), 1778 nucleotides. RefSeq lists it as uncharacterized. The record is from RefSeq and is a predicted model, not a curated record. The transcript has 3 exons. NCBI's taxonomy places the organism in Eukaryota, Metazoa, Chordata, Actinopteri, Perciformes, Percidae.
UGGAAGUAAUUUUCAAAAAGGGGAAGCCAAUCAAAAAUAAUGGCACUUAUUGUUUCUCUUUUGACACACAUUGCUGAGCGGCCUGCCCCUCCCUUGUCCGUCGCUUUCUCUGCCUGUGUAGCCCUAAACCCCAGGGUUCAUUCACGUCUAUUAUACGGACAAAUUAAAUAAAACCCGAAAAGGGUCGGAGGGGAGCGGAGAGCAACGCUGGCCGUCGGUGGUGGUGUUUGAAAGAGACGGGGAAGGGAGGAACACCAUGGAGGGAAGACUGCUGAACCAACAAAGGGCCUGGAGGAGACGACAACUGGAGCACGUGGAACAAACAUUUGGCCCUUUGAGUCCCUUUGUUAAUACGGCAAUGUAAGUACUACCACCCAGAAAGACCACUCAGCGUGCUGUGGCUGAGCACCACCUGUGUCACCACGAGAAACCAGGGGGACACUGGAUUGGUGAAGAGCCACACUGUGCCAGCUGGCAGCAUUGAGGCCAAAAAAGGCGCCCAGAAAAGGCAGUCUGACCCAAGCAUCCGAGCUCUGUCGUACAGCGAUGCUGAGGAGAAGCUGGCAAAAGGGAGGGUGGAAAGCCAGAAGAACAGUAUGUGUGGCAGCAGCAGUAGCAGUGGGAGUAUUCCCAUGUCCUCAGCCCCAGGGGGCCCUCCCUCCAGUUUCAGCCUUCCCAGGACCAGCAGUCCAGAGCAGUGACCAAAGUGAAAGUGGACGUCAACCUGUGCAACAUCUUCCCCUCGGAGCUGGUGAGCCGUGUGAUGGCCAGGAGCCCCCACAUUGCAGACCCCCAGCAGCUGGCAGCUGCUAUACUUGCAGAGAAAGCCCAGACAGGGUACUGAAGAACAAAGGAAAGUGUGAACUCCCGAUAGAAAACAAUAGCAGUCAAGUAGUCUGAGUAAAAAUAGGAAAACACAAACAUCAGAAGAGGAAACUUUGCCUUUGCAACACUUGAAAGCACGUUGGGUUUGCAUGGUGGUAUUUUAAAUACUGGAAUGCUUUUGGAUUGUCUACAUGUUGAGCUUUUUCUUUUCUUAUGACAUUAAUGAGACAAUGUCUAGGUUUCAAGGAUAUGAAAUGCUAAAGAUAAUCCAAAUCCAGCUCUGGUUACUGCACAGGGACAACUAAAUCCACUGAACUUUAUGAAGUGUGGGGAAAGCAAAUCAUUUCAGGAAAUCUUGGACUUUGACACAAAGUGCAACUUCCGCGUCUAAACAAAAAAGUAAUCCUCUGCACUGUAUCUGGAUAUAUUAAAUAUGACGUACAAUGUGUAGUUUGGCAUCAUAUAGGCUACGACGACAGCUAAAGACAAUACUCAUGAGUAGUGUAACAUAGUAGAGUUUAGUAAACAAAUGUAUGUUUUAUCACAAAGUAGCUUGUAGUUAAAUGAUUGUCGCUUGUGUCCCUUGCUGUAUGAUAGCACAGGCCUACUGUACACACUACAUAACCUUACAUGAUUCUGUUGAUAUUUUCUUGCUUAUGGUUUGUUUCAGUAAUUAAUCUCUGCUGUGUAAGAUGUUCAGCAGCAGUUUCCUAAUCUUAGCAAUGGCAAAUAAUUUAGCCAGUGAUUUAAAGAUUGGUGGAUAUAUUGAUAGUUUCUGCAGUGGUUAAUUAACCCAUGUUUGGUCUGUAACUAAUUUCAUAUAUCAGCUGUUCUAGCCUUGUGACUAGUGGAAUAAUUUGGGACAUGCCAUGUUGGUAGAUAGAAAUAAUAAGUGAAGGUACCCACGCUGCGCCAGCUAUGUCGGAGAGGUCUGAGUGUGAGCCAAUGCCAGA